GCAGAACAUAUUGAUGCUCUGAAAGAUAACCCCAGAAGAGUAUGAGGAGACAUACACAGUCUACACAGGCCUGUAAGCAACAAGAACAACAGAAAACGGGAUACGUGUGCGGAACAUGCAGGGCCUUGUCCCAAGAACCUACGUAGCUAUGAUGGACAAGAUUAAGUAACAAACCACACAAGGGCUGAAAGCUGCUGGAGAAGUGCUCUGGUCACCUGUCCUUAGGCAGUAAUUCUGGAAGAAACUGAAGCCUACCCAGAGGGUAGAUAUUGAGUCAGGAUCUAAACACAGUUGGACUUUACAGCUCUCAGGAUCGUAACACCUAAC
RNAcentral lists this long non-coding RNA (327 nucleotides) under Pan troglodytes (chimpanzee). Its description in RNAcentral is "long non-coding RNA NONPTRT017319". The record is from RNAcentral. Lineage: Eukaryota; Metazoa; Chordata; Mammalia; Primates; Hominidae.